UAAUAUUUAAUACCUGAUUGUGGUUUUGAUUUGCAUUUCCCUGAUGAUUAGUGAUGUUGUGAACUUUUCAUAUACCUGUUGGCCAUUAAAUUACGUUUUGAUAUGAUAGCUCUGUAAGGGUUAAGUACUUUUUAGGACAUGGACCUGGAAUGAUUGCCAGAAAUCAUAGUUUGAAUUGAAUUAAUUUUCAAAUUUAGCAGGCAUAUACUUUCCAUUUCUCCAUCCUACUAAAUAAAUUAAAAGUUAAUUUACCGUGGUGGUGGGCUUGACAGGAACUGGGAACAGCUUUUACUUUCAUUUUCUGGGACCACUCACCUGAACUUGGUAAACACUCCUGAGCCUUUUAAACAAUCACCCUCCACCUGCCUUUACUUACACUCACUUUGGAGCAGGCUCUCUUCUCUACUUCCUUUUCUGGGCAGUCCCCAGGGCUGCGUUAGCUUCUUCGCUUGCUUCUAUUACAGCAUGACUAGCCCAGAGCCUGCCCAAAUAUGUGGUAGGCUGAUGAAUGGUCCUCCAAAGAUGUCCAUGGUCCUAAUCACUGGGAUCUGUGAGUAUAUUACUUUUUAUGGUGAAAGGGACUUUGCAGAUACAAUCAAGUUAAGGAUUUAGAGAUGAGGAGAUUAUCCAGAUGGGCUUAAUGUCAUCACAAGUUUCUUUGUAAGUGGGAGGCAGGAGGAUCAAAGUAAAAAAAAGAAGAUGUGAUGACAAAACCAGAGGUUGGAGGGAUGCCCUUUGAAGAUGGGGAAAGGCACCAGGAGCUGCGGAAUGUAGGCAGCUUCUACCAGCUGGAAAAGGAAAGGAAACAUUCUUCCCUGAGCCCCUGGGAGGCAGCAGUCCUGACAAGACCUGGCUUUUAGACUUCUGAUUUCCACGACUGUAAGAGAAUAAUUUGUGUUGUUUCAAGUUACUCGAUUUACGGUAACUUGUUAUAGUAGCAGUAGGGAACUUAUCCAAUUACUAUAUAUAUUAAAGCCCUUUCAAGAUCAUAAUACCAUGUUAGGUAUUAUUCAUAGUAGCACAUCAUAAUAUUUGCAAAUCCUUUUCCUUAAUAUUGUGUUUAAAAAUUAAAUGUAUUUUUAAAAAAUGUAUUUCAAAGCUUGCUUUAAAAUAUUCUUGUAGAAAAAUCUUGUACUAUUUCUGUAUUUUAAAAUUAAUUUAUUCAGUUUAUACUUAUUAAACAUCUAUUAUGUGCAAAAGAGUAUGUUCUAGAGGACACAGAAAUGUUUAGGACAUGGACUUUAAUUCCAAGAAUCUCAUAAGGUUGACCUCUAGAAGCUAAAAUAUAUGCAUAAAUAACUGUUGCCCAAGUUGGCAUAUUGUAUUAGCUAGCUAGGGCUGCAUAAUAAAGUAUUACAGACUGGGGGGCUUAGACAACAGAAAUUUAUUUUCUCACAAUCCUGGAAGCUAGAAGUCCAAGAUAAAGGUAUUGUGAAAGAAAAAUAAAUCCUAGGACCCCCAAAAUCACCCAGCCAAGGGAAAAGUCAAGCUGGGAACUGCAUUAGGCAAACCUGCCUCCCAUUUUAUUCCUAGAUAAGAUAGCUAAAAAGAUAAAAGAGCUACAUACUUCCCUCACAAUUUUCCCAUAAGGAAAUUGCUUGUGGGACUCAAGAUCUUUGCCCUAACACAGUUCUGUUGAAUUUUACCCUGGCAACAUAAACGGAUCCCUUAUCUCCACAGGUGCAGAACAUAAAGUUAUCCCUCUGCUUACCUGAAGCAAAUGCACAUCUGAUUGCUUCCUCUGCCCUAUUGUUAAUGUAAAAAUGCAGAAUCACUGAGCCAGACUAAGUGGUGUAUUCAGUGGAAGGCUGAUCGAGGACUCAAAAGAAUUCAAUCUUUUCCCUCUGAUCUACCUAUGACCUGGAGGCUCCUGCUUCGAGUUGUUACACCUCAUGGAACUGACCAAUAUACAUCUUACACAUAUGAUUUGAUGUCUCAUGUCUCUCUAAAAUAUGUAAAAGCAAGCUGUACCCUAACCACCUUGGCACAUCGUCAGGACCUCCAGAGGUUGUGUCACAUGCAUGUCCUUAACUUUGGCAAAACAAACUUUCUAAAUUGAUACCUGUCUCAAUAUUUUGGGUUCACAGGAUUGAUUGAUUCUAAGUCCUUUGCUUAUAAUGUGCCUCCUCCUUUGUUUUCAUGUGGUCUUACUUUGUGCCUGUGUCCUAUUCUCCUCUUCUUAUAAGGAUACCAGCCAUAUUGGGUUACAGCCCACCCUCCUGACCUCAUUUGAACUUAAUUGCCUCCGUGAAGACCACAUCUCCAACUACAAUCAAAUUCCAAGGCAGCAUGAUAUAGUGAAAAGAAUAUGAGCUUCUGGAAUUAGAAGAACUGGGCAUGAGUCCCAGACUACACUACCUGUUAUGUGACCUUGGUUGAAAUGGAUUCUGACCUCCAAAUCUUGGCCAAAAUACUGAGAUGAUCUUUCCUGCCCUAAUUCCAGUAGUAAUGGUACCUGAUGCAAUACUUUUGUGGAAGAGGACAUCACAUGGUAUAUAAGAAUGAAAUCUUUAUGUGUGUAUUUGGGCAGGUAAUAUAUAUUUUAGUGAGCUAAAAAUGAACUUGGUUUUGCAAAAUAUCACCUUAUAUUUUGGCACUUUUACUAGUAGUGUCACAGUGGGUGAUUUUAGUAAUGGUGUAUGAAUGUUAUAUAGUACAGUGUAUUAUUUUCUAAUUUUUGUCCUUAUCUUUUUGUUCUUUUAUAUUUUUUUCCAGAGAAACUAGAGAAAAGCUUUGCAACAUUCUAUUUGGAAUAGAAGGUGUGGGUUGCAAUCACUGAGGUGAUGUAAUUACCAUUAUUCUUUUGAAGUUAAUUUUAGACCAGGAUAGUUUAUAAGGUAUAGCAAAUCAUCUAUAAACAUUUAAUAUGCCAGUCACUGUGGGGCUAUAGGAAUAAAAUGUGCUCCUGCCCCUGAGGAAUCCACAGUUUACUAAAAGCAAAAGGGCAUGCACAAAAGAGGUAAUUAGCAGCCAGUAAGAACAAGAAUCAUGCGAGAAAAUUAAAUAGUGGGGAUUCAAAUCUUAUUGGUAGAUGACAUUCAGACUUUAAACAUUCAAGCAAAGAUAUUUUCUUGAGAACUGGAGGUGAAUGUCACUUGCUUAAGUUCAUAUUUGGAACAAAGGAAGUUCACAAUUAUACAUGUUGAAAUAAAAUUUAGGAUGUGGAAAAUCUUUAAAUUUACUAUUUCUUCAUAAGGUCAUAUUUAGAGAUUUGGUGGUGUUAGUGAAGAGGAAACAAGGUGCAGAACAUGUAAAUAGUUAUUUCAGAAAUUAGAAAAGAAGUAAAAGCAGUUAAAACAUGUUUUUGUUGUUGGGAUUUUUGUUUAUAUAAGACCAUUGAGUGAACAUGCCUGGUGAGUGUGAGGACAUAAGUCUGCGGGUAAGAAAUAACAGGAUAGUUCUUGCUCUUUUGUUUUGUUUUUCUGUGACAGCGUCUUGCUCUGUCACCCAGGCUGCAGUGCAGUGGCGCAGUCACAGAUCACUGCCAGCCUUGACCUCCUGGGCUCGAGUGAUCCUCUUGUUUCAGCC
Long non-coding RNA from Sapajus apella (tufted capuchin), 3528 nucleotides. RefSeq lists it as uncharacterized. The transcript has 3 exons. The record is from RefSeq and is a predicted model, not a curated record. Lineage: Eukaryota; Metazoa; Chordata; Mammalia; Primates; Cebidae.